UGAAAUUCCGAUCCUCUUCAUAGAGAUGAC
RNAcentral lists this non-coding RNA (30 nucleotides) under Rattus norvegicus (Norway rat). Lineage: Eukaryota; Metazoa; Chordata; Mammalia; Rodentia; Muridae. The record is from RNAcentral.